Molecule: non-coding RNA, 582 nt
Organism: Pelobates cultripes (western spadefoot toad)
Lineage: Eukaryota; Metazoa; Chordata; Amphibia; Anura; Pelobatidae
Source: the annotation of a GenBank genome assembly
GUCCUCCGACUGCUCAACUCAGUGGUCAGGCCCCGCCCCCCAAUCACUGUUCUUAUUGGUCUGUGUCUUUGUGUUGGAGUCCCCAACAAGGUCCAUGUGGGCGUACCCCUUGCAUGGGGAUUGUCAUAAAAGGCUAGUGUGGCUACCAUUAAACCAGUUCCUCUUCACCCUCAACAUAGAGCCUUGUCUCAUGUGUGGAGGGGACAGCUAUAUUCACUCUGAGGAUUGCUAUACUCAUUAUACUCCCCUGGCUUCUAAUCACUUGCUCUUUAAAGAGCAGCCUGCUACACUCUCACUGGAAGCUGGAUCCUGGUCUUGGGUCCAGGGUGAGAACACAACCAAGCUGCGGCUGUUUGUGGGGUCUACAGUGCUGAUGGUGUCUAGUGGAGUGCUUUGCGUCCUCGUGAGCACUAGGACCAUCGAUUGACGGAGGCCAGGCGGUCCGUCACAGUCUGUAUGUCUCUGUAGGACUACACCUGCAAUCAAACACAGUAUACACAUAAUGACACACUGCCACCAACACACAAUCAGAUUUGGUAUACACACACAAAAUACUACACCCUAACGCAGUAUGCACACUUA